This is a long non-coding RNA of Mustela erminea (ermine), 1199 nucleotides long. RefSeq lists it as uncharacterized. Lineage: Eukaryota; Metazoa; Chordata; Mammalia; Carnivora; Mustelidae. The transcript has 3 exons. The record is from RefSeq and is a predicted model, not a curated record.
UCUACCCCUAAUCAGGUUGCCCAGCCACCUCCUCCUUGAGGCCCUUUUAGGGAGGAGAGUAGGGAGCGGCACGAAUGGGGGAGGGUCUCCUGUACAGGUCCCGGGCACGAAGCAGGAGCCCUGAGUGUCCCCAGCGCCAUGCACCGCUGCUACAGGCCUUCUCGUGCCGCUCUAGCCUCACUGUCCGUAGGUAAUAAAUGAGGGUCUCAGCCAGCCCCCUGCCCCCUCCAAGUGUGUGUCUGUGGCACCUGGCAGGUGUUGCGGGGGAUCACCGGGGGAGGGGCAGGGCGCCUCACCUGCUCGGAGCAGCUCCCGGUCCACACCCAGAGGGUUGCCCGCAAUGGCCCCGCUGCAGGAACAGGGGAUCCCAGAGCUCUGGCCCCGCUCUGGCAUCCUUGCUAGCCCGGUCAGCCCCAUCUCCGAGACCGCCGCGGGUCUGCGCGGAAGAACCCCAGACGGAGAGGCCUGUCACCUGGCCGGCUGCCUCCUCUGUCCUUCCUAGCACCUCCUCUUCCGUUGAUCCCCAAGGACCAGCUAACCAAGUGGGACAGCCCCCCACCCCGCCCCGCCACGAGGCCCUCGGGACACUGGGGGCUGACUCACCUCCCCAGGGGCAGGACGUUGACCCGCUUCUGGACCUCCAACAGCCUCUCCGAGUCUCUGGUCAGCGCCACGGCAUGGCUGUAGGAAGCCAGAGGGCAGAGGUCAGGGCCUCCGGGGCCCUCCCCUCUGUCACAGCCCCUCCACAACACCCCUGCACGAUGCCCUGCCCGACUCGCCUCAGUAUCCAGUGGCUCCAGCGGAUGGGCUGAGCCCUUUGCAGGCCCCAGCGGGGAAGAGCGAGGCCAGCCUUGCAAGGACCUGCCUGCGCAAGAAACCAAGCGACCUCCUGGGGACAAACACAUCCUAAAGGAAGAGACCAGAAGCGGGGCAGCGUGACCCAGGGACGGGGCCAGGGCCCGGGGCCUCCCCAGAGCAGGAUGGGAGCCGGGACGCGAGGCAGUGCCGUCCUCAGCUCUAAGCAGAGGUGACAGGGAAGGAGGGGACGCCGAGGGGUACUACUUGGCGGGGGAGUUGCCAUCUGUGAGCCCGUGAGACGCACCCAAGGACCUCAGAAGAGCAGGGGGCACUUUCAAAGAGACAAGGUGCUGCAGGUGAUGGUUUUGGUUUGUUUGUUUUAAUAAACAGCUUUACUGAGA